AUUGAACGCUGGCGGCAGGCCUAACACAUGCAAGUCGAACGAGCGGCGGACGGGUGAGUAAUGUCUGGGAAACUGCCUGAUGGAGGGGGAUAACUACUGGAAACGGUAGCUAAAACCGCAUACCAUCGGAUGUGCGCAGAUGGGAUUAGCUAGUAGGUGGGGUAAAGGCUCACCUAGGCGAUGAUCCCUAGCUGGUCUGAGAGGAUGACCAGCCAGACUGGAACUGAUACCCGGUCCAGACUCCUGCGAGAGGCAGCAGUGGAGAUUAGUGCACAAUGGGCGCAAGCCUGGUGCAGCCAUGCCGCAUGUAUGAAGAAGGCCUUAGGGUUGUCAAGUACUUUCAGCGGCGAGGCGUUACCCGCACAAGAAGCAACGGCUAACUCCGUGCCAGCCGCCGCGGUAAUUC
RNAcentral lists this ribosomal RNA (406 nucleotides) under uncultured bacterium. RNAcentral describes it as "partial 16S ribosomal RNA". It matches the Rfam family "Bacterial small subunit ribosomal RNA", at positions 30 to 526 of the family's 1533-position model. The record is from RNAcentral.